CCUGACUGCUAUCGGAUUGAUACUAAGCCAUGCGAGUCUUUGUAGUAAUACAAGGCAGACGGCUCAGUAACACGUAGUCAACCUACCCUAUGGACGAGAAUAAUCUCGGGAAACUGAGCAUAAUUCUCGAUAGAUCAUAAUGCCUGGAAUGGUUUAUGGUUAAAAUGAUUCGUCGCCAUAGGAUGGGACUGCGGCCUAUCAGCUUGUUGGUGAGGUAGUGGCCCACCAAGGCGAUUACAGGUACGGGCUCUGAGAGGAGAAGCCCGGAGAUGGGUACUGAGACACGGACCCAGGCCCUAUGGGGCGCAGCAGGCGAGAAAACUUUGCAAUGUGCGAAAGCACGACAAGGUUAAUCCGAGUGAUUUCUGCUAAAGAAAUCUUUUGUCAGUCAUAAAACCACUGACGAAUAAGGGGUGGGCAAGUUCUGGUGUCAGCCGCCGCGGUAAAACCAGCACCUCAAGUGGUCAGGAUGAUUAUUGGGCCUAAAGCAUCCGUAGCCGGCUUUGUUAGUUUUCGGUUAAAUCCAUGUGCUCAACACAUGGGCUGCCGAAAAUACUGCAUGGCUAGGGAGUGGGAGAGGUAGACGGUACUCAGUAGGAAGGGGUAAAAUCCUUUGAUCUAUUGAUGACCACCUGUGGCGAAGGCGGUCUACCAGAACACGUUCGACGGUGAGGGAUGAAAGCUGGGGGAGCAAACCGGAUUAGAUACCCGGGUAGUCCCAGCUGUAAACGAUGCAGACUCGAUGAUGCAUUGGCAUAAUAGCCAGUGCAGUGUCGCAGGGAAGCCGUUAAGUCUGCCGCCUGGGAAGUACGUACGCAAGUAUGAAACUUAAAGGAAUUGGCGGGGGAGCACCACAAGGGGUGAAGCCUGCGGUUC
RNAcentral lists this ribosomal RNA (876 nucleotides) under uncultured crenarchaeote. Its description in RNAcentral is "bacterial SSU rRNA". It matches the Rfam family "Archaeal small subunit ribosomal RNA", at positions 21 to 903 of the family's 1478-position model. The record is from RNAcentral. Lineage: Archaea; Thermoproteati; Thermoproteota.